UGCGUCAAUGGAUAUGAGAGGCUUUUAGUUUAUGAGUACAUGCCACAAGGGACAUUAGGCCAGCACUUGUUUGAUCAUGAACAUUUGGGAUUUCCACCUCUCACUUGGAAGCAACGAUUAAUAAUAGCACUAGACGUGGCCAGAGGGGUCGAGUAUCUGCAUGGUUUGGCACAACAGCGAACAUUUGGGAUUUCCACCACUCACUUGGAAGCAGAGAUUAAUAAUAGCACUAAACGUGGCCAGAGGGGUCGAGUACCUGCAUGGUUUGGCACAACAGAGUUUCAUACAUAGAGAUCUAAAGCCUUCUAACGUACUUCUUGGAGAU
This 325-nucleotide long non-coding RNA is filed under the name Nicotiana benthamiana. RNAcentral describes it as "long non-coding RNA (NBEN_LNC030639)". The record is from RNAcentral. Lineage: Eukaryota; Viridiplantae; Streptophyta; Magnoliopsida; Solanales; Solanaceae.